This 636-nucleotide non-coding RNA is filed under the name Dictyocaulus viviparus (bovine lungworm). RNAcentral describes it as "Eukaryotic large subunit ribosomal RNA". It matches the Rfam family "Eukaryotic large subunit ribosomal RNA", at positions 2781 to 3401 of the family's 3401-position model. The record is from Rfam by way of RNAcentral. Lineage: Eukaryota; Metazoa; Nematoda; Chromadorea; Rhabditida; Metastrongylidae.
UCCAGAUAGUUUCUGGUAAGAGGUGUCAGAAAAGUUACCACAGGGAUAACUGGCUUGUGGCAGCCAAGCGUCCAUAGCGACGGUGCCUUUUUAUCCUUCGAUGUCGGCUCUUCCUAUCAUUGCGAAGCAGAAUUCGCCACGCGUUGGAUUGUUCACCCACUAAUAGGGAACGUGAGCUGGGUUUAGACCGUCGUGAGACACCCUAACUGUUACCCUACUGUUGACUAAUUGUUGCGAUAGUAAUUCUGCUUAGUACGAGAGGAACAGCAGGUUCAAACAUUUGGUUCAUGGAGUUGAUCGAUUGGUCAGUGGUCCGAAGCUAACAUUUGAGGGAUUAUGACUGAUUGCCUCUAAGUCAGAAUCUCACCUAGUCAAGGCAACGAUAACUUUGUUUUCCGGUGUUGGGAGACAAGAAUAUUUUAUAUACGUACAUAUAAAAGUAUAUGUUCUAUUAUAUGGCUAUUUUAAUACGUAAUAAAUUCGCGUAUUGAUUGCUAAAGCCAGAUCACUCUGGUUCAAUGUCGGGGCACAAAAUCACAUGUUUACGACAUGUAUGCUGGUCAACGUGUUGUAUCCAGUAGAGCAGUGUUUGUAUACUGCGAUCUGUCGAGACCAUCCUAUGAUCGGCUGUUUUGU